Molecule: long non-coding RNA, 397 nt
Organism: Mesocricetus auratus (golden hamster)
Lineage: Eukaryota; Metazoa; Chordata; Mammalia; Rodentia; Cricetidae
Exons: 4
Source: RefSeq, a predicted model, not a curated record
CAUUCAAAAGUCAUCUGAGGCUGCUGCGGAGAUGCCUCAGUUGGUAAAGUGCAAGAACCCAAGUUCAAUUUUCAGAGCCCAGGUAUAAAAUCAGGUUGAAGAGGAGUAAACAUUUCUCAGAAACCACAAGAACUUGUGAAUGUAGGAAGAAGCAAAACAUUUUUCUGAAGGCCUAUAACAUAUGCAUGGGUCUUGUGCUGACACGGACGCCUAAAUGAUCAAGAUUGGAAGUACCAAAUACCACUUGUCUUUGCUUUGUUUGUCUCCCAUGCACAAGACACUGGGACUCUGUUUCAUGGACAGAAGGCUAGAACUUUCUAUUUUCUGUUUAUUUUAUUUCCUCCAGGGAAUAAGAAAAUACACCAAUCACUAGACUAUAGUUCUCUUCUUUCGGUCU